This 272-nucleotide ribosomal RNA is filed under the name uncultured prokaryote. Its description in RNAcentral is "partial 16S ribosomal RNA". It matches the Rfam family "Bacterial small subunit ribosomal RNA", at positions 505 to 776 of the family's 1533-position model. The record is from RNAcentral.
GUGUCAGCAGCCGCGGUAAUAGGGAGGGUGCGAGCGUUAAUCGGAAUAACUGGGGGUAAAGGGCACGCAGGCGGUGACUUAAGUGAGGUGUGAAAGCCCCGGGCUUAACCUGGGAAUUGCAUUUCAUACUGGGUCGCUAGAGUACUUUAGGGAGGGGUAGAAUUCCACGUGUAGCGGUGAAAUGCGUAGAGAUGUGGAGGAAUACCGAAGGCGAAGGCAGCCCCUUGGGAAUGUACUGACGCUCAUGUGCGAAAGCGUGGGGAGCAAACAGG